UCCCAUAUGGUCUAGUCGUUAGGAUCCGGCGCUCUCAUCGCCGUGGCCCUGGUUCGAUUCCCGGUGUGGGAA
Nematostella vectensis (starlet sea anemone) is the source of this 72-nucleotide non-coding RNA. The record is from Rfam. NCBI's taxonomy places the organism in Eukaryota, Metazoa, Cnidaria, Anthozoa, Actiniaria, Edwardsiidae.